Molecule: long non-coding RNA, 283 nt
Filed under: Homo sapiens (human)
Lineage: Eukaryota; Metazoa; Chordata; Mammalia; Primates; Hominidae
Description: non-protein coding KTN1-AS1:10
Source: RNAcentral
AGACCGCCGGAGGCAGCGGCGAGGACUGGAACUCCAGCAUGGCGAUUACUCUGCCCCUCAGCGGUUCCAGUGCCCUCAAAGCAAUCUGUCUCUGAAGUACUGGCUAUCUUCUGAGCGUGUGCCAGAAGAUCCAGCUUUGUUGAAAAGCGAAGCCGUUAGUCCCUUAAUACAAAGGAGACAAAUUGAUUUAUGCCUGGGGCACCAUCACCAAAAGAAGAGGAAAUGGAUGCAAGCCUUCCCAGAACAACAGCUGGGGGUUUGUGUGCUCUUUCGAAUGCUUUGU